CAAGUCGAACGAUUAAGACUCCCUUCGGGGAGUGCAUAAAGUGGCGCACGGGUGAGUAACACGUAAGUAAUCUACCUUCGAGUGGGGAAUAACGUUCGGAAACGAACGCUAAUACCGCAUAAUGCAGCGGCAUCGAAAGAUGACAGUUGUUAAAGGAGCAAUUCGCUUGAAGAGGAGCUUGCGGCAGAUCAGCUAGUUGGUAAGGUAAUGGCUUACCAAGGCUACGAUCUGUAUCCGGUCUAAGAGGACGGUCGGACACACUGACACUGAAUAACGGGUCAGACUCCUACGGGAGGCAGCAGUCGGGAAUUUUGGGCAAUGGGCGAAAGCCUGACCCAGCAACGCCGCGUGAAGGAUGAAGUUUUUCGGAAUGUAAACUUCGAAAGAAUGGGAAGAAUAAAUGACGGUACCAUUUAUAAGGUCCGGCUAACUACGUGCCAGCAGCCGCGGUAAUACGUAGGGACCAAGCGUUGUUCGGAUUUACUGGGCGUAAAGGGCGCGCAGGCGGCAAUUCAAGUCAGCUGUGAAAUCUCCGGGCUUAACUCGGAACGGUCAGCUGAUACUGCUUUGCUAGAGUGCGGAAGGGGCAAUCGGAAUUCUCGGUGUAGCGGUGAAAUGCGUAGAUAUCGAGAGGAACACCUGAGGUGAAGACGGGUUUCUGGGCCGACACUGACGCUGAGGCGCGAAAGCCAGGGUAGCAAACGGGAUUAGAUACCCCGGUAGUCCUGGCCCUAAACGAUGAAUACUU
RNAcentral lists this ribosomal RNA (748 nucleotides) under uncultured Bacillota bacterium. RNAcentral describes it as "bacterial SSU rRNA". It matches the Rfam family "Bacterial small subunit ribosomal RNA", at positions 58 to 818 of the family's 1533-position model. Lineage: Bacteria; Bacillati; Bacillota. The record is from RNAcentral.